RNAcentral lists this ribosomal RNA (510 nucleotides) under uncultured bacterium. RNAcentral describes it as "partial 16S ribosomal RNA". It matches the Rfam family "Bacterial small subunit ribosomal RNA", at positions 28 to 507 of the family's 1533-position model. The record is from RNAcentral.
GACGAACGCUGGCGGCGUGCUUAACACAUGCAAGUCGAACGAAGAGCGAUGGAGGCUUGCUUCUAUCAAUCUUAGUGGCGAACGGGUGAGUAACGCGUAAUCAACCUGCCCUUCAGAGGGGGACAACAGUUGGAAACGACUGCUAAUACCGCAUACGAUCCAAUCUCGGCAUCGGGACUGGAUGAAAGGUGGCCUCUAUUUAUAAGCUAUCACUGAAGGAGGGGAUUGCGUCUGAUUAGCUAGUUGGAGGGGUAACGGCCCACCAAGGCGAUGAUCAGUAGCCGGUCUGAGAGGAUGAACGGCCACAUUGGGACUGAGACACGGCCCAGACUCCUACGGGAGGCAGCAGUGGGGAAUCUUCCGCAAUGGACGAAAGUCUGACGGAGCAACGCCGCGUGAGUGAUGACGGCCUUCGGGUUGUAAAGCUCUGUUAAUCGGGACGAAUGGUUCUUGUGCGAAUAGUGCGAGGAUUUGACGGUACCGGAAUAGAAAGCCACGGCUAACUACGUG